Molecule: ribosomal RNA, 254 nt
Filed under: uncultured bacterium
Lineage: Bacteria
Description: partial 16S ribosomal RNA
Rfam family: Bacterial small subunit ribosomal RNA
Source: RNAcentral
UACGUAGGCAGCGAGCGUUAAUCGGAAUUACUGGGCGUAAAGAGCGCGCAGGCGGUCGUUCAAGUCGCGUGUGAAAGCCCCCGGCUCAACUGGGGAGGGUCACGCGAUACUGAUCGACUCGAAGGCAGGAGAGGGUAGUGGAAUUCCCGGUGUAGUGGUGAAAUGCGUAGAUAUCGGGAGGAACACCAGUGGCGAAGGCGACUACCUGGCCUGUUCUUGACGCUGAGGCGCGAAAGCUAGGGGAGCAAACGGGG